Molecule: long non-coding RNA, 1087 nt
Organism: Papaver somniferum (opium poppy)
Lineage: Eukaryota; Viridiplantae; Streptophyta; Magnoliopsida; Ranunculales; Papaveraceae
Exons: 3
Source: RefSeq, a predicted model, not a curated record
GAAGAAAACCAUUUCCUUCUAAAUUUUUUCCCAGUUUCAGUCAGCUGCAGUUGGUAGUGCUUGAGAGGGAUUUUUAGGGAUUUUGACGAAUUUAAGAAUGAGGUUAAGUUGGCUUGAGAUUAGGCAGCAAAAUCAAAUGUGUUUCUGAUGGAGAUAUGUUUUAAAUCUAUUAUUCUGGUCGGGAUCGCAAAAGAGACUCAAGGGUUUGAGAGAUCAAAGAAGGAAUUUGGGAUCAGAUUUGGGUUUUGUAGCGAAGUUGGAGCUGUUACUGCCAUGGGUGUUACUACCGAGGAAGAGAUUGUUUGAUAGGGGUUUGAAGCAAGAAACUGAUGUGAAUAAAUUAAGUUUAAGAGGGUUUCCUGUUGAUUCUCAGUGAAUGAAUAAUGGAAGAAUUUGAUUGAUAGUAUGAAGAUUCUCCACUUAAAAGGCUACUGAUUUUUGGUUUGACAGUUUUCUCCAAACCAGUAUAUAAUGGUAGCGGAACUCUUGAGGAAGGUGAAACAGCUGAAACUCGAUACAAAAAGAUACAAGUUUCUUAUGAGUUGCUCAUAGAUGAGGAGAGGCCCACACAAUAUGACAGGGAACACCGUGUUAAUCCUAUGAAGGCUACACAAGCAUGGAUUGGCUCGUAAAUAAACGAACAGAGAUUUUGAUCAGAAAGGUGAUAUGGCUGUCACACCUUGGGCCGAACAGCAACAACAUGAGCUGAAUGUUUGUGUACGGCGUCUAUCUCGUACCAAGGUAAAAACUAAAAAGCUUUCCAGUAUGUGUUAAAUGGGACAUGGGUUAGCUCAUCCCCUGUAUAUAUGCACGUUCAUACCGUCAUACUAGUCUAGAAUAAAAGAAUGCAUUUGUAUCCUGAGAAACUUUUUUCUUCCAGCAUAAUUUUGAACUUUUACUCCUAUCAAGAAGUAGGUUUCACUCUCCCUUUUCACACUAGAUUUAGUUUGCUCAAGGAUUAGAACUUCUAUCACAUCUCUUUUCUUUUUGUGCUAUCAUUAGUUUACUUUCGUGUCCCUGUAUGGUUUUGUUGCAUAAUGGAAGUCUUAAUCGUAGCAGGUGUUGGAAUGAGUUGGUUAUCCUUCCA